GAAAAGAACCCCGGGAGGGGAGUGAAAUAGAACCUGAAACCCUGCACUUACAAGCUGUGGAAGCACAUUUCUUGUGUGACCGCGUACUUUUUGUAGAACGGGCCAACGAGUUACGUUAAGUAGCAAGGUUAAGCACUUAAGGUGUGGAGCCGUAGCGAAAGCGAGUUUUAACUGAGCGUUCAGUUACUUGACGUAGACCCGAAACCGGGCGACCUACCCAUGAGCAGGAUGAAGCGAAAGUAAAAUUUCGUGGAGGUCCGAACCCACGAGCGUUGAAAAGCUCGGGGAUGACUUGUGGGUAGCGGUGAAAUUCCAAUCGAGCCCGGAGAUAGCUGGUUCUCCCCGAAAUAGCUUUAGGGCUAGCCUCAAGGUGAGAGAUACGGAGGUAGAGCACUGAAUGUCCUAGGGGGUAUUGCACCUACCGAAGACUAUCAAACUCCGAAUGCCGUCAUCUUAUACUUGGGAGUCAGACUGUGGGUGAUAAGAUUCAUAGUCGAAAGGGCAACAGCCCAGAUCGUCAGCUAAGGUCCCUAAAUGUAAGUUAAGUGGUAAAGGAUGUGGGAUUGCACAGACAACCAGGAUGUUGGCUUAGAAGCAGCCACUCAUUCAAAGAGUGCGUAAUAGCUCACUGGUCGAGUGAUCCUGCGCCGAAGAUUUCCGGGGCUAAAACUUACUACCGAAGCUACGGCAUCAGUAAUGAUGGGUAGGGGAGCUUCCCAUA
Molecule: ribosomal RNA, 721 nt
Filed under: Clostridioides difficile
Lineage: Bacteria; Bacillati; Bacillota; Clostridia; Peptostreptococcales; Peptostreptococcaceae
Description: partial 23S ribosomal RNA
Rfam family: Bacterial large subunit ribosomal RNA
Source: RNAcentral